RNAcentral lists this ribosomal RNA (252 nucleotides) under uncultured Bacteroidales bacterium. Its description in RNAcentral is "partial 16S ribosomal RNA". It matches the Rfam family "Bacterial small subunit ribosomal RNA", at positions 524 to 776 of the family's 1533-position model. The record is from RNAcentral. Lineage: Bacteria; Pseudomonadati; Bacteroidota; Bacteroidia; Bacteroidales.
UACGGAGGAUGCGAGCGUUAUCCGGAUUUAUUGGGUUUAAAGGGUGCGUAGGCGGCGAGUUAAGUCAGCGGUAAAAGCCCGGGGCUCAACCCCGGCCCGCCGUUGAAACUGGCAGUCUCGAGUUGGAGAGAAGUAUGCGGAAUGCGUGGUGUAGCGGUGAAAUGCAUAGAUAUCACGCAGAACCCCGAUUGCGAAGGCAGCCUGCCAAGCCAUGACUGACGCUGAUGCACGAAAGCGUGGGGAUCGAACAGG